AGACACCCAGUCAGCCAGUAGACACCCAGCCAGCCAGUUCCUUCACAGCCAGCCAUUAACUCAUGAUUCACUGCCGUCAGAAACCCCGCCAGGCCUUGUACUUAACAGCCAGCCACUAACCCAUGCUUCACCUCUGCCGUUGCGACAGGUGAACAAUCAGUUGCUGCGUGAUUUACCGUCGUCAGAAACCCCGCCAGGCCCCCUACAUCACAGUCAGCCACUAACC
This is a long non-coding RNA of Neoarius graeffei (lesser salmon catfish), 226 nucleotides long. RefSeq lists it as uncharacterized. Lineage: Eukaryota; Metazoa; Chordata; Actinopteri; Siluriformes; Ariidae. The record is from RefSeq and is a predicted model, not a curated record. The transcript has 4 exons.